AGGAGAUUAGCGUCUGCAGCAUAGUCCUGUUCCUUUAAAAAAAAAAAAAAAAAGAGAGAGAGAGAGAGAGACAGAAUCUCACUGCGUAUCCCUGGCUGUCCUGGAACUCAGCAGAGAUCACCUAUCCCUACAAGUUGUAACAACUCUUACUUAUGGGGUGGGGGUAGGAAGCAGGGAUUUCCCCAGCUCUUGACUCUGGCCUUCUACCAGCUUCCAGGCUGGCCUCGAUUUUGGGAUUUCUCGGCACUUCACAGCAGAGACAGUCUGCAGAGGAUGCUAACUUAUGUCAGAGAAAGCCGGAAGGAUGGCGCGGGCCGGUUGCUGGAGAAUGCUAGGAAGGGCGGAUGCCCUUCCACAUGGCCAACAUCUACUCCAGUGCUGUAUUGAUGAUCAGGAGCCAGCAUUUGCUAACUGUCUCAUGGCCAGCAUCUCCUCCAGUGCUGUAUUGAUCAGGAGCCAGCAUUUGCUAACUGUCACAUGGUCAGCAUCUCCUCUAGUGCUGUAUUAUUGAUGAACACAAGUCAGCACUUGUUACCUGUCUUACAAUAUGUAUGUUACAAAACAUAGAGAACCUGUGAUUUUCCCAUUUGAAAAGCUAGUAAAUUGUAGAACCAAGAUCCAUAACCAUGCAGCUUGUUGCCAGAGACUCCAUUCUUAGCUAUAUCUCAUGCUCUAUCUUAAAAACGGGGAUCCAGCCAGGUGUUGGUGGCGCAUGCCUUUAAUCCCAGCACUCGGGAUGCAGAGGCAGGCGGAUCUCUGUGAGUUCGAGACCAACCUGGUCUACAAGAGCUAGUUCCAGGACAGCCUCCAAAGCCACAGAGAAACCCUGUCUUGAAAAAUAAAACAAAACAAAAAAAAAUGGGGAUCCAUUUCCUGCCAAGCAUGUUAUCUACACCUUUAAUAUCAAACCAGGUUACUUCUUA
This is a non-coding RNA of Cricetulus griseus (Chinese hamster), 923 nucleotides long. The record is from RefSeq and is a predicted model, not a curated record. NCBI's taxonomy places the organism in Eukaryota, Metazoa, Chordata, Mammalia, Rodentia, Cricetidae.